Molecule: ribosomal RNA, 588 nt
Filed under: Aubria subsigillata (brown ball frog)
Lineage: Eukaryota; Metazoa; Chordata; Amphibia; Anura; Pyxicephalidae
Description: partial 16S ribosomal RNA
Rfam family: Bacterial large subunit ribosomal RNA (bases 242-588)
Source: RNAcentral
UAAGCGUACUGGAAAGUGCACUUGGAAUAACAAAAUACUGCACAAAGCUUCAUUACCUGGCAAAAUUUGUUAAAUCAAAAUAUUUUGAGCUUAAAUACUAGCCUAAACUUAUUCACAUUCUAUUUUCUUACUAAAACAUUUUAACUAUAUAGUAGAGGCGAUCAAAAAAUUUAUAAGCGCUUUAGAAACAGUACCGCAAGGGAAAUAUGAAAUAAAAAUGAAAUAACUAUUAAGCAUAUAAAAGCAGAGACUCAACCUCGUACCUUUCGCAUCAUGGUUUAGCUAGUCUUACCAGGCAAAAAGAAUUUUAGUCUGACUUCCCGAAACUUAGUGAGCUACUCUAAAGCAGCCGAACGGGCCAACCCAUCUCUGUAGCAAAAUAGUGGGAAGACUUUAAAGUAGAAGUGAAAAGCCUAUCGAACUGAGUAAUAGCUGGUUACUUGAGAAAAGAAUUUUAGUUCUGCCUAAAGUCCCUGAUAUGCUAUAAACAAUUCACAAGACUUUAGAGUUAAACAAAUAAGGUACAGCUUAUUUGUUUCAGGAUACAACCUACAUUAGAGGGUAAAUUAAUUAUAAUUAACUCAAGUG